This 311-nucleotide ribosomal RNA is filed under the name uncultured bacterium. Its description in RNAcentral is "bacterial SSU rRNA". It matches the Rfam family "Bacterial small subunit ribosomal RNA", at positions 28 to 334 of the family's 1533-position model. The record is from RNAcentral.
GACGAACGCUGGCGGCGCGCCUAACACAUGCAAGUCGAACGAAGAAAGCGAUAGUUUACUAGAGCUUUCUUAGUGGCGGACGGGUGAGUAACACGUGAAGAACCUGCCUUACAGAGGGGGACAACAGUUGGAAACGGCUGCUAAUACCGCAUGAUGCAACGGAAUCGCAUGACUCUGUUACCAAAGAUUUAUCGCUCUGAGAUGGCCUCGCGUCUGAUUAGCUAGUUGGCGGGGUAACGGCCCACCAAGGCGACGAUCAGUAGCCGGACUGAGAGGUUGGCCGGCCACAUUGGGACUGAGACACGGCCCAG